RNAcentral lists this ribosomal RNA (497 nucleotides) under uncultured bacterium. RNAcentral describes it as "partial 16S ribosomal RNA". It matches the Rfam family "Bacterial small subunit ribosomal RNA", at positions 28 to 507 of the family's 1533-position model. The record is from RNAcentral.
GAUGAACGCUGGCGGCGUGCCUAAUACAUGCAAGUCGAGCGAACAGACGAGGAACUUUCUCCUCUGACGUUAGCGGCGGACGGGUGAGUAACACGUGGAUAACCUACCUAUAAGACUGGGAUAACUUCGGGAAACCGGAGCUAAUACCGGAUAAUAUAUUAAACCGCAUGGUUCAAUAGUGAAAGACGGUUUUGCUGUCAAUUAUAGAUUGAUCCGCGCCGCAUUAGCUAGUUGGUAAGGUAACGGCUUACCAAGGCAACGAUGCGUAGCCGACCUGAGAGGGUGAUCGGCCACCCGGGAACUGAGACACGGUCCAGACUCCUAAGGGAGGCCGCAGUAGGGAAUCUUACGCAAUGGGGGAAAGCCUGACGGAGCAACGCCGCGUGAGUGAUGAAGGUCUUCGGAUCGUAAAACUCUGUUAUUAGGGAAGAACAAAUGUGUAAGUAACUAUGCACGUCUUGACGGUACCUAAUCAGAAAGCCACGGCUAACUACGUG